GUGAGGAAUAUUGCGCAAUGGAGGCAACUCUGACGCAGCCAUGCCGCGUGCAGGAAGAAGGCGCUACGCGUUGUAAACUGCUUUUAACCGGGAAGAAACCCCAGGACGUGUCCUGGGUUGACGGUACCGGAGGAAUAAGCACCGGCUAACUUCGUGCCAGCAGCCGCGGUAAUACGAAGGGUGCAAGCGUUAUCCGGAUUCAUUGGGUUUAAAGGGUGCGUAGGCGGAGCGUUAAGUCAGUGAUGAAAUCCUGCAGCUUAACUGUAGACUUGCCAUUGAUACUGGCGCUCUUGAGUGCGCUUGAAGUGGGCGGAAUGUGCCGUGUAGCGGUGAAAUGCUUAGAUAUGGCACAGAACACCAAUUGCGAAGGCAGCUCACUAAGGCGAUACUGACGCUGAGGCACGAAAGCGUGGGGAUCGAACAGGAUUAGAAACCCUGGUAGUCC
Molecule: ribosomal RNA, 445 nt
Filed under: uncultured bacterium
Lineage: Bacteria
Description: partial 16S ribosomal RNA
Rfam family: Bacterial small subunit ribosomal RNA
Source: RNAcentral